RNAcentral lists this RNase P RNA (319 nucleotides) under Cyclospora cayetanensis. RNAcentral describes it as "Nuclear RNase P". It matches the Rfam family "Nuclear RNase P". From Rfam's summary of the family: Ribonuclease P (RNase P) is a ubiquitous endoribonuclease, found in archaea, bacteria and eukarya as well as chloroplasts and mitochondria. Its best characterised activity is the generation of mature 5'-ends of tRNAs by cleaving the 5'-leader elements of precursor-tRNAs. Lineage: Eukaryota; Apicomplexa; Conoidasida; Eucoccidiorida; Eimeriidae. The record is from Rfam by way of RNAcentral.
GCAGCCGUACUAGGCGCUGCCACGAAAGGGUUUUCGUGGCAAAGCCGCAUGCAGAGGGGAGGGUCUGAGAUGCCGUCGAGCCGCUAGCGCGGCAACGCCGCAAGGCGUUGGUCCUUCACCAGAAAGUCGCCGCUGGUCUCUCGCGAACGCGAGAGACGGCCGCUUGAAAGGGGGGACUGGCAAGGUAGCAGCACUUGUUCCCUCCUUUGCUUGCCAAAGGGGGGAGGCAGGGGGUUGCACGUGAGUUCAAUACCCGGGACGCUUUUGUCUCCUCAAGGGAGAAAAAAUGCGACCUUUCGAUUCAGACUACUCCCGCUGC